RNAcentral lists this ribosomal RNA (1072 nucleotides) under uncultured Frankia sp. RNAcentral's name for it is "bacterial LSU rRNA". It matches the Rfam family "Bacterial large subunit ribosomal RNA", at positions 1 to 1036 of the family's 2925-position model. Lineage: Bacteria; Bacillati; Actinomycetota; Actinomycetes; Frankiales; Frankiaceae. The record is from RNAcentral.
GGCCAAGUUAUUAAGGGCGCACGGUGGAUGCCUUGGCACCAGGAGCCGAUGAAGGACGUGGGAGGCUGCGAUAUGCCUCGGGGAGCUGCCAACCUAGCUGUGAUCCGAGGAUUUCCGAAUGGGGAAACCCGGCAGGGCUUUAAAUCCUGUCACCCUUGCCUGAACACAUAGGGCAUGUGGAGGGAACGCGGGGAAGUGAAACAUCUCAUUACCCGCAGGAAGAGAAAACAACCGUGAUUCCGCGAGUAGUGGCGAGCGAAAGCGGAUCAGGCUAAACCAAUGUCGUGUGAUAGCCGGCAGGCGUUGCGAUGUUGGGGUCGUGGGAGCAUUCGGACAGGACUGCCGUUCUGUCAGGGAGUCAGAAAAAACGCUGUUAGGCGAAGGUCAUGUGAAUGGGCCGCCAUAGAGGGUAACAGCCCUGUAGCUGAAAACAGUUUUUCUCCCGAGUGUUUUCCCAAGUAGCACGGAGCCCGUGAAAUUCCGUGUGAAUCUGGCGGGACCACCCGCUAAGCCUAAAUACUCCCUGGUGACCGAUAGCGGACUAGUACCGAAAAGUACCCCGGGAGGGGAGUGAAAUAGUACCUGAAACCGUGUGCCUACAAUCCGUGGGAGCUGGACUUCGGUCUGGUGACCGCGUGCCUUUUGAAGAAUGAGCCUGCGAGUUUGCGAUGUGUGGCGAGGUUAACCCGUCGUGGGGUAGCCGUAGCGAAAGCGAGUCCGAAUAGGGCGUCUGAGUCGCAUGUCCAAGACCCGAAGCCGAGUGAUCUACCCAUGGCCAGGUUGAAGCGCGGGUAAGACCGUGUGGAGGACCGAACCCACCAGGGUUGAAAACCUGGGGGAUGAGCUGUGGGUAGGGGUGAAAGGCCAAUCAAACUCGGUGAUAGCUGGUUCUCCCCGAAAUGCAUUUAGGUGCAGCGUCACAUGUUUCUUGCCGGAGGUAGAGCACUGGAUGGCCUAGGGGGCCCACAAGCUUACUGAAGUCAGCCAAACUCCGAAUGCCGGUAAGUGAAGUGUGGCAGUGAGACUGCGGGGGAUAAGCUUCGUAGUCGAGAGGGAAACAGCCCAGAUCGCC